UUGCUCUGGUGCGAUCCUCCUCAGUC
RNAcentral lists this non-coding RNA (26 nucleotides) under Mus musculus (house mouse). The record is from RNAcentral. Lineage: Eukaryota; Metazoa; Chordata; Mammalia; Rodentia; Muridae.